CGUAUCACCCAAGACAACUUUACGGAGUUGACGAUUGACGGAGCGAAGCGACGUCAAAGCGUUCAUUAAAGUCGAGUUGGCUUAGGGAUACGUUCGUUGGGUAGGGGAGCGUUCUGUAAGCCUGUGAAGGUGUGUCGUGAGGCAUGCUGGAGGUAUCAGAAGUGCGAAUGCUGACAUAAGUAACGAUAAAGCGGGUGAAAAGCCCGCUCGCCGGAAGACCAAGGGUUCCUGUCCAACGUUAAUCGGGGCAGGGUGAGUCGACCCCUAAGGCGAGGCCGAAAGGCGUAGUCGAUGGGAAACGGGUUAAUAUUCCCGUACUUGGUGUUACUGCGAAGGGGGGACGGAGAAGGCUAUGUUGGCCGGGCGACGGUUGUCCCGGUUUAAGCGUGUAGGUGUGUGUUCCAGGUAAAUCCGGUUCACUUUAACACUGAGGCGUGACGACGAGGCACUACGG
This 454-nucleotide ribosomal RNA is filed under the name Salmonella enterica. Its description in RNAcentral is "partial 23S ribosomal RNA". It matches the Rfam family "Bacterial large subunit ribosomal RNA", at positions 1154 to 1582 of the family's 2925-position model. RNAcentral also lists the same sequence under 1 other name. The record is from RNAcentral. Lineage: Bacteria; Pseudomonadati; Pseudomonadota; Gammaproteobacteria; Enterobacterales; Enterobacteriaceae.